GAUGAACGCUGGCGGCGUGCCUAAUACAUGCAAGUCGAGCGAACAGACGAGGAGCUUGCUCCUCUGACGUUAGCGGCGGACGGGUGAGUAACACGUGGAUAACCUACCUAUAAGACUGGGAUAACUUCGGGAAACCGGAGCUAAUACCGGAUAAUAUAUUGAACCGCAUGGUUCAAUAGUGAAAGACGGUUUUGCUGUCACUUAUAGAUGGAUCCGCGCCGCAUUAGCUAGUUGGUAAGGUAACGGCUUACCAAGGCAACGAUGCGUAGCCGACCUGAGAGGGUGAUCCGCCACACUGGAACUGAGACACGGUCCAGACUCCUACGGGAGGCAGCAGUAGGGAAUCUUACGGAAUGGGCGAAAGCCUGACGGAGCAACGCCGCGUGAGUGAUGAAGGUCUUCGGCUCGGAAAACUCUGUUAUUAGGGAAGAACAAAUGUGUAAGUAACUAUGCACGUCUUGACGGUACCUAAUCAGAAAGCCACGGCUAACUACGUG
This 497-nucleotide ribosomal RNA is filed under the name uncultured bacterium. Its description in RNAcentral is "partial 16S ribosomal RNA". It matches the Rfam family "Bacterial small subunit ribosomal RNA", at positions 28 to 507 of the family's 1533-position model. The record is from RNAcentral.